GAGUGUCACCUCCUCCUGAUCCUGCUGGAUUCUGGAUAAAGCUGCUGCACGUUGAGACAAGGAGAAAGGAAAACCAGCCAGAGCCUCAUCAAACAGGACAACAGGAAUCCUGCCUGAGACUGGCUGAGCAAUGGGAUGGAUGCUUAUCAGCUUUUUUUUGAGGCGAGGGAUGAAAAUAUUAUUCAAGAGAAGGUUGGAUCUUCACUCUUGGUCCUACAGUUCCAAGGAUCACCACUGGCUGAGAUAACACCCUUCUUCUGAUGGAUUUCUGCAGAGGAAGUUGUCUGGAGGCAAAUUCCAAAGUGUGGAUCUCUCUGGAAUGGUUCACAUGGGGAAUGUUGCAAACAUUUGAUUAUUUGGCUCAUUCAUCAGUCUGAACAAACAGCCAAGAAGAGGAAACUAACAAGCAAACACAUUUCAAGUGCUGUUUGCAUUUCAAUGCCCCCAAAAGAGUCAGUUUGGUUUAGAAAUGGAAAAGAGUUCCAACAGCUGGGGUGAAAUAAAGAAAAAAAAUCAAAUUAUUGUUCUUUCAUUUUAUCGUCCUGGGUUGAAGAGAUUGUCCAGAUUCAAUUUGUCAAGCCACCAAUUGCUGAAGUAGAGCUGUGUUCCCUGACAAUCAGUUACAAAUCCAGGGAAUUCCACCCAGCUCCUGCUGCAGGAGAGAGCAGGAAGUGAUGCUGGGGUGACAAGGGGGGGAAGCUGCAGCUCGGACUCCACCCUGCAUUCACCCCAACUUAAAGCAAGAGUCCAAGAUGGGCUUUUCUUACCUUUCCCUUCCUUACAAAGCCUAGGAAAUAAAUUCAGGGCAACCACAGCAUUUUUAAAGAUCCCUCCAGUCCUGUGGGUUUUGGUGGUGAAGCCUUACUGGAUGGACAGGGACUUUGCUUUAGGGGAAAAGCAUUUAUCUGGGGACCAGCUGAGAAGAAACCAUUGAUGCUCCUGUAGGAUUCCAGCACUGGUCCCACAGAACAGCCACACAACCCUGCCAGGAGAUCCAGCUCCUCCACGCUUUGUUAGCAGGAUACCUGCAGGGAGAAAUCACCCAAAUCCAGCAGAAAGGGCAAGAAGCAGAAGGUUCAAAUCCAAAUUGAGUUGAGCUGCUGCUGUUCUCAUAAAAGAAUGGUCAUUUCUGCCCAUUUUGGGUGGUAAGAGGCAGCUCAGAAGGUCCAGGUAAGAUUCAGGGGGCUCUAAGGUACCUUAAAGCAUGUUCAGAUCAGCACAGGGGAUCCCAAGGAAGCCUGGCUGCCCCAUCCCUGCAAAAGUUCAAGGCC
This 1271-nucleotide long non-coding RNA is filed under the name Cyanistes caeruleus (blue tit). RNAcentral's name for it is "lncRNA (ENSCCEG00000020921.1)". Lineage: Eukaryota; Metazoa; Chordata; Aves; Passeriformes; Paridae. The record is from RNAcentral.